This is a transfer RNA of Roseivivax isoporae LMG 25204, 74 nucleotides long. It matches the Rfam family "tRNA". Rfam says of the family: Transfer RNA (tRNA) molecules are approximately 80 nucleotides in length. The record is from Rfam. NCBI's taxonomy places the organism in Bacteria, Pseudomonadati, Pseudomonadota, Alphaproteobacteria, Rhodobacterales, Roseobacteraceae.
CGGAGUGUAGCUCAGCCUGGUAGAGCACUGUCUUCGGGAGGCAGGGGUCGUAGGUUCGAAUCCUGCCACUCCGA